CUAAUACCGGAUAAUCCUUUUCCUCUCAUGAGGAAAAGCUGAAAGACGGUUUACGCUGUCACUUACAGAUGGGCCCGCGGCGCAUUAGCUAGUUGGUGAGGUAACGGCUCACCAAGGCGACGAUGCGUAGCCGACCUGAGAGGGUGAUCGGCCACACUGGGACUGAGACACGGCCCAGACUCCUACGGGAGGCAGCAGUAGGGAAUCUUCCGCAAUGGACGAAAGUCUGACGGAGCAACGCCGCGUGAGUGAUGAAGGUUUUCGGAUCGUAAAACUCUGUUGUUAGGGAAGAACAAGUACAAGAGUAACUGCUUGUACCUUGACGGUACCUAACCAGAAAGCCACGGCUAACUACGUGCCAGCAGCCGCGGUAAUACGUAGGUGGCAAGCGUUGUCCGGAAUUAUUGGGCGUAAAGCGCGCGCAGGCGGUCCUUUAAGUCUGAUGUGAAAGCCCACGGCUCAACCGUGGAGGGUCAUUGGAAACUGGGGGACUUGAGUGCAGAAGAGAAGAGUGGAAUUCCACGUGUAGCGGUGAAAUGCGUAGAGAUGUGGAGGAACACCAGUGGCGAAGGC
This 573-nucleotide ribosomal RNA is filed under the name Bacillus sp. (in: firmicutes). RNAcentral describes it as "bacterial SSU rRNA". It matches the Rfam family "Bacterial small subunit ribosomal RNA", at positions 163 to 722 of the family's 1533-position model. The record is from RNAcentral. Lineage: Bacteria; Bacillati; Bacillota; Bacilli; Caryophanales; Bacillaceae.